RNAcentral lists this long non-coding RNA (1238 nucleotides) under Arachis ipaensis. Its description in RNAcentral is "long non-coding RNA (AIPA_LNC000079)". Lineage: Eukaryota; Viridiplantae; Streptophyta; Magnoliopsida; Fabales; Fabaceae. The record is from RNAcentral.
CGUGGAGUGCGCGUACGCGUGGCCCUGUUUUCAUCCCAAAGUUGAUUUUUGAGUUUUAAAAGCCAAAUCUCAUACUUCUAAGCCUCCGAUCUCACCAUUUAUGUCUUAAAUCAUUAUGACAUGCCUAGCUAUUAAAAAGGGGCUAGUGAAUGAGGUAACUUGCGAGUGAAGCAAGGGAAAAAUGAAUGAUCAAUGAGGAUCAAGAUGAUUAUGUGAGAUGCGGAGGAUGGUGGUGGAAGUGCUUGUUAAGCCAUGGGCCGAAAGGCUGUAAUUGCUAAUGAAACGGCUGGUUAUGGAUUUAACCGUGAGCCGGAAAGGCUGUGUAUAAUAUGAAUAUUGGCUGGUUCUGGACUGAACCGUGAGCCGGAUGGCUGAUAUGGAUGUUGAUCCAUGGAUGAGAAUUUAUGCAUGCUUAUGCUGAAUUAUUGAUAAUUGAGAUUUGCACUUCCACUAUCAGAGGCACGAGAUCCCUGGGAGGAAGCAGUGGCUAGCCACCACGUGCUCCAGGUGGAGGCUCGAGACUCUGUUGACCCUAUGUCGUAAGUGUGGCCGAGCACUGUGAAAGACCCGGAUGAGCUCGCCCCCGAAAUAUUCACCAGUGAGGGUGAUGGAUAUGGAUCAUGUUUAUGAUCAAGUUUAUAACGAGUAUAACUCGAGUUGGGGAUGCGCGACAGAGGGACAGUCCAAUGGUUAGCUACCAGGACUUGUCGGGUUGGCUCUAUAACUGACAGAUGAUAUCAUCAGCCACUAGGGACAGGCAUUCAUCAUAUGCAUACUAUGUGAAUUGUUUGAGAUUGCCUAUUUGACUGCAUAUUACUUGCUAAUUGUCUAAAUGUCUUAACUGCUCCUAUUUGUAUAUUCUUUGUCUGAUAUAAUUGUGUUUGCUAUUAUAUACUCCUGCUGGUGGUUGGGAGGUUUGAAGGAAUUGGAAAGGGAAGUAUUAGUUAGACUGAAGAAUCUUUAGUCAGAUACCCUUAUAUGGUUUAGCUUGUUUAUAAGCUUUGAUAUUAUCUGGAGGAAGUUCUAGGAUUGCCUUUGGCUUUCCUCUAUUAUUAUGUAUUAUAUAUGUGGAAGCUGUUACCGUGCUGGGGACCUCUGGUUCUCACCCAUGCGGAUUUUGUGGUUUUCAGAUGCAGGACGCGAGGCUUCUCGUUGAGGCAUGCUGGAGACUUCUGGAUUAGCGAAGAUCUUUGUUCUCGGGGCUCUGUUUUGGUUUAUAUAUCUUGUUUAGAUACUUU